Molecule: ribosomal RNA, 372 nt
Filed under: uncultured bacterium
Lineage: Bacteria
Description: bacterial SSU rRNA
Rfam family: Bacterial small subunit ribosomal RNA
Source: RNAcentral
GUAGGGUGCAAGCGUUGUCCGGAAUUAUUGGGCGUAAAGAGCUCGUAGGCGGUCUGUCGCGUCUGCUGUGAAAACUCAGGGCUUAACCCUGAGCUUGCAGUGGGUACGGGCAGACUAGAGUGCGGUAGGGGAGACUGGAAUUCCUGGUGUAGCGGUGAAAUGCGCAGAUAUCAGGAGGAACACCGGUGGCGAAGGCGGGUCUCUGGGCCGUAACUGACGCUGAGGAGCGAAAGCAUGGGGAGCGAACAGGAUUAGAUACCCUGGUAGUCCAUGCCGUAAACGUUGGGCGCUAGGUGUGGGGACCUUUCCAUGGUUUCCGUGCCGCAGCUAACGCAUUAAGCGCCCCGCCUGGGGAGUACGGCCGCAAGGCUA